Molecule: long non-coding RNA, 6548 nt
Filed under: Marmota monax (woodchuck)
Lineage: Eukaryota; Metazoa; Chordata; Mammalia; Rodentia; Sciuridae
Source: RNAcentral
UGACAGUCGAAUGCACUUUGAUACAUCAUAUAUAAUGGAGUAUAAUAUCUCAUUCUUCUGGUUGUACAUGAUGUAGAAUCACACUGGUCGUACAAUUAUGUAUGUACAUAGGGUAAUAAUGUCUGAUUCAUUCUACUAUCCUUCCUACCCCAUACCUCCUCCCGUCACUCCCCUCUACCUAAUCUAAAGUAACUCUAUUCUUCCCUAACCUUGCCCCCAUUGUGAAUUAGCAUCCUUAUAUAAGAGAAAACAUUCAGCUUUUGGUUUUUUGGGAUUGGCUUACUUCACUUAGCAUGAUAUUCUCCAACUUCAUGCAUUUACUGGCCAAUGCCAUAAUUUCAUUCUUCUUUAAGGCUGAGUAAUAGUCUAUCAUUCAUAUAUGUGUGUGUAUAUUAUAUAUAUUAUAUAUGUAAUAUAUAUAAUAUAUACUAUAUCUAUAUAUCUAUAUAAUUUUUUAUCCAUUCAUCUGUUGAAGGGCACCUAGGUUGGUUCCAUACUUUGGCUAUUAUGAAUUGAGAGCUGCUAUAAACAUUGAUGUGGCUACAUCACUGUAGUAUGCUGAUUAUAAGUCCUUUGGGUAUAAACUGAGGAGUGAGAUAGCUGGGUCAAACGGUGGUUCCAUUCCAAGUUCUCUAAGGAAUCUCCAUACAAAUUUUCAUAAUGAUUGCUCCAAUUUGCAUUCCCACCAGCAAAGUAUGAGUGUACCUUUUCCCCCACAUCAUCGCCAAAAUUCAUUGUUGUUUAUAUUCUUGAUAAUUGCCAUUCUGAUUGAUUGUAUUUCUUCUUCUGUGAAGUAUCUGUUCAGUUCCUUAGCCUAUUUAUUGACUGGAUUAUUUAUUGUUUUUGGUGUUAAGUUUUUUUGAAUUCUUUAUAUAUCCUGGAGAUUAAUGCUCUAUCUGAGGUGUGUGUGGUAAAGAUUUUCUCCUUUUCUUUAUGCUCUCCCUUUCAUAUUAUUGUUUCUUUUGUGGAGAAGUUUUUUAGUUUAAAAUCUGUCCAAUUUAUUGAUCCUUGAUUUUACUUCUUGCACUUUAGGAAUCUCAUUAAGGAAGUCAGAUUCUACACUCACAUGGUGAUGAUCUGGGCCUACUUUUUCUUCUGUUAGGCCCAGGAUCUCUGGUCUAGUGCCUAAGUCUUUGGUCCACUUUGAGUUGAGUUUCAUGCAGGGUUAGGGGUUUAAUUUCAUUUUAUUACAUGUAUUUCCAAUUUUCCCAGUACCAUUUAUUAAAUAGUCUAUCUUUUUCUCCAGUGAAUGUUUUUGGAAUCUUUUUGUAGUAUGAGAUAACUGUAUUUAUGCAGGUUUGUCUCUGUGUCUUCUAUUUUGUACCAUUGGUCUAUGUGUCUGUAUUAGUGCCAAUAUCAUGCUGAUUUUGAUACUAUGGCUUUUUAGUACAGUUUAAGGUCUGGUAUUGUGAUACCUCCUUCUUUAUUCUUAUUGCUAAAGAUUGCUUUGGCUAUUCUGGGUUUUUAGUUUUUCCAAAUGAAUUUUAUGAUUGCUUUUUCUAGUUCUAUGAAGAAUGUUAUUGGGAUUUUAAUUAGAAUUUCAUUAAAUCUGUAUAAUGCUUUUGGUAGUAUGGCCAUUUUGACAAUAUUAAUUCUGCCUAUCCAGGAGCAUGGGAGAUCUUUCCAUCUUCUAAGGUCUACUUCAAUUUCUUUCUUUAGUGUUUUGUAAUUUUCAUUGUAGAGGUCUUUUAUCUCUUUUGUUAGAUUGAGUCCCAGGUAUUUUAUUUUUUGAAGCUAUUGCAAAUGGGGUAGUUUUUCUAAUUUCUCUUUCAGUAGAUUCAUCACUGAUGUAUAGAAACACGUUUAUGGGUGUUGAUUUUAUAACCUGCUUCUUUGCUGAACUCAUUUAGGAGUUUUGAAAGUUUUCCUGGUGGAAUAUUUUGGCUCUUUGAAAUAUAGAAUCAUGUCAUCAGAAAAUAGUGAUAGUUUAAGUUCUUCUUUUCCUAUUUGUAUCCCUUAAAUUUCUUUCUCCUGUCUAAUUCCCCUGGCUAGAGUUUCAAGGACAAUGUUGAGUAGUAGCAGUAAAAGAGGGCAUCCUUGUCUUGUUCCAGUUUUUAGAAAGAAUUCUUUCAAUUUUUCUCCUUUUAGAAUGAUGUUGGUCUUGGGUUUGGCAUAUAUAGUUUUUAUGAAGUUGAGGUAUGUCCCUACUAUCCCUAGUUUUUUCAGUGUUUUGUACAUGAGGAGGUGCUAUAUUUUGUCAAAUGUUUUUUUUUUUUCUGAAUCUACUGAGAAGAUCAUAUAUUCUUGUUUUUACGUCUAUUGAUGUGAUUUAUUAAUUUAUUGAUUUCCAUAUGUUGAACCAACCUUUUAUCCCUGGGAUGAACCACACUUGAUUGUGGUGCACUAUCUUUUAAAUAUGGUUUUGUAUGAAGUUUGCCAGAAUUUUAUAGAGAAUUUUUGCAUUUAUGUUCAUCAGGGAUAUUUUUCUUAAGUUUUCUUUCUUUGAUGUGUCUUUGUCUGGUUUUGGUAUCAGGGUGAGAUUAGCCUCAUAGAAUGAGUUUGGAAGGACUCCCUCCUUUUCUAUUUCAUGGAAUACUUUGAGGAGUAUUGGUGUUAAUCAUUCUUUGAAGGUCUUAUAGAACUUGGCUGAUAAUCCAUCUGGUCCUGGGCUUUUCUUUAUUGGUAGGCUUUUGAUGGUGUUUUCUAUUUCAUUACUUGUAAUUGAUCUGUUUAAAUCGUGUGUAUCUUCCUGAUUCAGUUUGGGUAGGUCAUCUCUGAAAUCUGUCGAUGUCUUCAAGGUUUUCUAUUUUAUUGGAGUAUAAAUUUUCAAAAUAGUUUCUAAUUAUCUUCUGUAUUUCAGUCAUGUCCAUUGUGAUAUUUCCUUUUUCAACACAUUUUUAAGUAAUUUGAGUUUUCUCUCUUUUUCUCUUUGUUAGCAUGGCUAGGGAUUUAUUUUUCCAAAUAACCAAUUUUGUAUUAUCAAUUUUUUUUCAGUUGUUUCUUUUGUUUCAAUUUCAUUGAUUUUAAUUAUUUCCUGUCUUCUACUGUUUUUUGGUGUUGAUUUAUAUUUCUUUUUCUAGGGCUUUGAGUUGUAAUGUUAGGUCAUUUAUUUGUUGACUUUUUAUUCUUUUAAUGAAUGAGCUCAAUGCAAUGAACUUUCCUCUUAGCCCUGCCUUCAAGGUGUCCCAAAGAUUUUGAUAUGUUGUACACUAUUCUCAUUUACCUCUAAGUAUUUUUAAAUUUCAUCUCUGAUUUCUUCAUUUUCCAUUCAUCAUUCAAUAGUGUAUUAUUUAGUCUCCAGGUGUUAGAGAGUAGCUUUUAUUUUUUAUUCUAUCAUUGAUUUCUAAUUUUAUUUCAUUAUGAUCUGAUAGGAUGCAGUGUAUUAUCUCUAUUUUUUUUUUUGUAUUUGCAAAGAGUUGCUUUAGGACAUAAGAUAUGGUCUAUUUUAGAGAAGGAUCCAUGUGCUGCUGAGAACAAAAUAUAUUUGCUCAUUGAUGGAUGAAAUAUUCUAUAUAUGUUAAGUAUAAAUUAUUGAUUAUAUUAUUUAGAUCUAGAGUUUCUUUGUUUAGCUUUUGUUUGGAAGAUCUAUCCAGUGAAAGAGGUGUGUUAAAGUCACCCAGUAUUAUUGUGCUGUGAUCUAUUUAAUUCUUGAAGUUGGGAAGGGUUUGUUUGAUGUACGUAGAUGCUUCAUUGUUUGGGGCAUAAAUAUUUAUGAUUGUUAUGUCUUAUUGAUGUAUAAUUCCCUAAAGAAGUAUGAAAUGUCCUUCUUUGUCCCUUCUGAUUAACUUGGGCUUGAAGUCUACUUUAUCUGAUAUGAGGAUAGAAACCCCUGCUUGUUUACAUGAUCCACACAAUCUAUAUGUUUUUUCCCAUUCUUUCACCCUCAGUCUAUGGAUGUCUUUGUUUAUGAGGUGAGUCUCUUGGAGACAGCAUAUUGUUGGGUCUUAUUUUUUGAUCAAACUUGCCAAUCUGUGUCUUUUGAUUGAUCAGUUUACGCCAUUAAUAUUCAAGGUUAUUAUUGAGAUAUUAUUUGUGCCCCAGUUGUUUUAUUUUUGUUUUUUUAAUUUGACUUAAUUUAUCCUUUGAUUUGACUAUUUUGACUAUUCCUUUGGCAUUGUUCCUCUCUUCGUUGGUUUUCACUUUUUUUUCCCUCACUUCUUCCUCAUGCUUUCUGGUUGUGAGUUCUUUUAACUUCUGUUUAUCAUGGAAGGCUUUUAUUUCAUCUUCAAAUCCGAAACAAUUUUGCUGGACAUAAAAUUCUUGGUUGGCAUCCGUUUUCUUUCAGAGCUUGAAAUAUAUUAUUCCAGGACCUUCUAGCUUUGAGGUUCUAGGUUGAGAAAUCAGUUGAGAUCCGAAUUGGUUUCCCUCUAUAUGUAAUUCAUUUUUUUUCUUAUGGCCUUUAAGAUUUUAUCUUUAUUCUCUGUUAGUCAUUCUCAUUAUAAUGUGUCUUGGUGUGGGUCUGCUGCAAUUUUGUACAUUUGGGGUUCUACAGGCCUCUUGUAUUUGAUUUCCCAUUUUAUUCUUUAGAUUUGGGAAAUUUUCUGAUAUUACCAUUAAAGAUAUCAUGCAUUUAUUUGUUUUUUAUCUCUGCUCCUUCAUCACCUCGAUAACUCUUAAAAUUUGGUCUUUUCAUGUUAUCCCAUAAUUCUUGAAUGUUCUGUUCAUGUUUUUUUACCAUCUUCUCUGCAUGGUCAACUCUGUUUUCAAGAUUAUAUAUUUUUUCUUCAUUGCCUGAAGUUCUGUCUUCCAAGUGGUCUAGUCUGUUGGUAAUGCUUUCUAUUGAAUUUAUAAUUUGGUUUAUUGAUUCCUUCAUUUCAAGGAUUUCUGCUUGUUUUUUUUUUGUCACAAUCUUUAACUCUUUAUUGAACUGAUCUUUCACUUCCUGGGUUUUUUCUUUGAUUUCACUCCUUAUAUUAUCCUUUACUUUGCAGAUUAGUUUAACCAUGUACAUUCUAAACUCCUUCUCUGACAUUUCUUCUACUGUGUUGUCAGUGGAUUCUGUCUUUGGAGCAUCUUGGUUUGUUUGGGGCACUUUAUUCCCCUGUUUUUUUUUUCUUCAUUUUAUUCAUGUGUUUUCCCAUCUAGCAGUAUGGAUCUAAGGCAGCACAAAUUCUACCCUGAAGACCUAUAGUGUCCCUGAAGUUUCUAGCACCUUGCCUUCAAGGGGGGAGACCAACAUUAAUAGCAUCCAAUGUAAACCACACACAGCCCCAAACCCACGAGAUCCUAUCAAGACUUCCACAGUUUUCUCUCAACAAACAGAAAUGACAAGUUCAAUUACUGUGCACACUAUAUACAGCAAAUUUGCUAAAAGGUUUCACAAUCCCAAAUGUUGGAGAAAGAGAGAACAGAAGUGGUGCAGGGCUUGAUGUUCACGAGGAAGGAGGACAGAAGCCAGAAGCAAAAACUUAUAGUAAGAGUGGAAGAGGAAUUGACAGAGAUUGACUGUUAUUGAAGAAAAGAUAGAGAAUCCUUGAAAGCAGACAAGUGAGAGGAAAAAUAUAUACAAUAAAAAAUUAAAAAUAUAAGCCUACACAACAAAACUGCAAAAUACCAUCCAUACACCAGUCAACAAAAUCAUGCAUGAAAACUACCUGGUCCCCAAAAUAGUAGAAAUGCUAGAGAAGAGAUUUAAAAAAUAUUUAAAAACAAAACAAGCCAAAACAACAACAACAACAACAACAACAACCAUCACCAAACCCUAAAACCAAAACCAAAAACCUCAAUGGAAAACUGAACAAUUGUUUGCUUCAGAGUUCAAAGUUCUCUCAGUCCUGACUGAUUCUUCAUGGGAUCACCAGGCCCAGAUGAGCCCAUACAGACUCUGUCGCUAUCCCACAGAUCUGGAUUUCAGAUGUUCCAGUCUUGGCUACAUUGCAUUCCCAAAAUCUCAAUGCUGUUCCAAUUUGCAGAGAGAUCACCAAGGGAUGUGCUCACAUAGAAGAGCCACCCUGAAAAGAAGCUGCAAGAUGGCAGUCACCAGCACUCCCAACAGGAAGACUCUAGGUGCAGCCAACCCUGCAGGCACUCUGACCCAGGACCUCCAGGUCCCAAAACUAUGUCCCCAAACAGAGGCGGCUGUUCCCCAGAUGGCAGUGGUGGCAAAGCGGCUGGCACUCUGACCCCCUGACCUCCAGGCGCUGGCUGGAGUCCCAAGAUGGAGGUGGCCGCGUGAAACCAAACCUGCGGGAAUACGGCUGUGGACCUCUGGGCAGCGGAGCGGGUCAGUGGCGGCGAUCUUCGGCAGCAGCACUGGUUGGUGGUAAUGGCGCCCGGAAAAAAGACCUCCCUGUGACAGUAGGAGAGGUGUAGGAAGCAGUGUAGGCAGAGAGAAGACCUCUGGGCUAUGAUGGUGACCUCACAGAGAAAAGACCAAGUCUGGGACAGCAGUGUGGGGAGCAGAGGCGUUGGGGUGGCGAUGUAGGCUGCAGCUGCGUGCCGUGCUGGGAGAAAAGACCUUCCUGCCAUGGCGGCAGAGACAGUACGUCCUCGAGUGCGGCAGCGGUCUGUUGGCAGCGCUCCUGCCUGGUUCCUCUUCUGCUGUGCAUCAGCUGUGGCCUUGUAGUUCCUCAGGUGAGUCUGUCCCUAGUGCUUUGUACAUGCUAUUC